This 315-nucleotide ribosomal RNA is filed under the name uncultured eukaryote. RNAcentral describes it as "partial 18S ribosomal RNA". It matches the Rfam family "Eukaryotic small subunit ribosomal RNA", at positions 1470 to 1796 of the family's 1831-position model. The record is from RNAcentral.
CCCUUAGAUGUCCUGGGCCGCACGCGUGCUACACUGACACUUACACCGAGUUUUUCCGGCCCCGAGAGGUGGCUGGUAAUCAGUAAUAGGUGCCGUGAUGGGGAUAGAUCUUUGGAAUUAUUGAUCUUGAACGAGGAAUGCCUAGUAAUCGUAGGUCAUCAGCCUGCGAUGAUUACGUCCCUGCCCUUUGUACACACCGCCCGUCGCUCCUACCGAUUUCGAGUGGUCCGGUGAACCUUUCGGACAGAGAGAGUCUCGUACAAUCUCUGAAAGUCAAGUAAACCACAUCACUUAGAGGAAGGAGAAGUCGUAACA